This 544-nucleotide ribosomal RNA is filed under the name uncultured Methylobacter sp. Its description in RNAcentral is "bacterial SSU rRNA". It matches the Rfam family "Bacterial small subunit ribosomal RNA", at positions 72 to 615 of the family's 1533-position model. Lineage: Bacteria; Pseudomonadati; Pseudomonadota; Gammaproteobacteria; Methylococcales; Methylococcaceae. The record is from RNAcentral.
CAGGCCUUCGGGCGCUGACGAGUGGCGGACGGGUGAGUAACGCGUAGGAAUCUGCCUUAUAGUGGGGGACAACGUGGGGAAACCCACGCUAAUACCGCAUACGCCCUACGGGGGAAAGCGGGGGAUCGUAAGACCUCGCGCUAUGAGAUGAGCCUGCGUUAGAUUAGCUAGUUGGUAGGGUAAAGGCCUACCAAGGCGACGAUCUAUAGCUGGUCUGAGAGGACGAUCAGCCACACUGGGACUGAGACACGGCCCAGACUCCUACGGGAGGCAGCAGUGGGGAAUAUUGGACAAUGGGCGCAAGCCUGAUCCAGCAAUACCGCGUGUGUGAAGAAGGCCUUAGGGUUGUAAAGCACUUUCAAUGGGGAGGAAAACCUGCCGGUCAAUACCCGGUAGCUUGACAUUACCUAUAGAAGAAGCACCGGCUAACUCCGUGCCAGCAGCCGCGGUAAUACGGAGGGUGCGAGCGUUAAUCGGAAUUACUGGGCGUAAAGCGUGCGUAGGCGGCUCGUUAAGUCAGAUGUGAAAGCCCUGGGCUCAACCU